ACUCCACUUGCCCUGAGCUGAUUGGGAGAACAGGACACAGUUUUCUCGCUUGCCACCGUUAGGCUGUGCACGGUCCCAGUUGAGGAAGGAGAUAGCGAUUCCGUUGACGUCAACAAACUUGCCUUCCGUGACCAUGUCAUUGAUGCCCAGCCAAAAGUCAUUGACACCUGGCAGGCUCCUUUUACCAUAGUCUUGGAGGGCGUUGAUUUCGUCGGAGUUCCUGGGGAUAACCAGGAUUCCUCCUUUGGAAAUGCAGUCUUCAUUGGCCUCAUGGAAAUGCUUCAAACCUUCUGAAGCAAGGUAGCAUUUCUUGUGAACUUUAGUGCCUCGGAGACAGACUGUGAAGAU
Molecule: long non-coding RNA, 348 nt
Filed under: Homo sapiens (human)
Lineage: Eukaryota; Metazoa; Chordata; Mammalia; Primates; Hominidae
Description: HSALNT0233830
Source: RNAcentral